This 498-nucleotide ribosomal RNA is filed under the name uncultured bacterium. RNAcentral's name for it is "partial 16S ribosomal RNA". It matches the Rfam family "Bacterial small subunit ribosomal RNA", at positions 28 to 507 of the family's 1533-position model. The record is from RNAcentral.
GACGAACGCUGGCGGCGUGCCUAAUACAUGCAAGUCGAACGAGAGCGACCGGUGCUUGCACUGGUCAAUCUAGUGGCGAACGGGUGAGUAACACGUGGGUAACCUGCCCAUCAGAGGGGGAUAACAUCCGGAAACGGAUGCUAAAACCGCAUAGGUCUUCGAGCCGCAUGGCUUGAAGAGGAAAAGAGGCGCAAGCUUCUGCUGAUGGAUGGACCCGCGGUGCAUUAGCUAGUUGGUGAGGUAACGGCUCACCAAGGCCGUGAUGCAUAGCCGACCUGAGAGGGUGAUCGGCCACAUUGGGACUGAGACACGGCCCAAACUCCUACGGGAGGCAGCAGUAGGGAAUCUUCCGCAAUGGACGCAAGUCUGACGGAGCAACGCCGCGUGAGUGAAGAAGGUUUUCGGACCGUAAAACUCUGUUGUUAGAGAAGAACAAGUGCUAGAGUAACUGUUAGCGCCUUGACGGUAUCUAACCAGAAAGCCACGGCUAACCACGUG